UAGAGCUAUGAUUAUCUGCUAUACCGCCCCAGUCUGAUGUUAGGUGACUGAGUGGUAAAUUCUGAGCUCUG
Molecule: small nucleolar RNA, 71 nt
Filed under: Leptobrachium leishanense (Leishan spiny toad)
Lineage: Eukaryota; Metazoa; Chordata; Amphibia; Anura; Megophryidae
Source: RNAcentral